GAUGAACGCUGGCGGCGUGCCUAAUACAUGCAAGUCGAGCGAACAGAUAAGGAGCUUGCUCCUUUGACGUUAGCGGCGGACGGGUGAGUAACACGUGGAUAACCUACCUAUAAGACUGGGAUAACUUCGGGAAACCGGAGCUAAUACCGGAUAACAUAUUGAACCGCAUGGUUCAAUAGUGAAAGGCGGCUUUGCUGUCACUUAUAGAUGGAUCCGCGCCGUAUUAGCUAGUUGGUAAGGUAACGGCUUACCUAGGCAACGAUACGUAGCCGACCUGAGAGGGUGAUCGGCCACACUGGAACUGAGACACGGUCCAGACUCCUACGGGAGGCAGCAGUAGGGAAUCUUCCGCAAUGGGCGAAAGCCUGACGGAGCAACGCCGCGUGAGUGAUGAAGGUCUUCGGAUCGUAAAACUCUGUUAUCAGGGAAGAACAAAUGUGUAAGUAACUGUGCACAUCUUGACGGUACCUGAUCAGAAAGCCACGGCUAACUACGUG
RNAcentral lists this ribosomal RNA (497 nucleotides) under uncultured bacterium. RNAcentral's name for it is "partial 16S ribosomal RNA". It matches the Rfam family "Bacterial small subunit ribosomal RNA", at positions 28 to 507 of the family's 1533-position model. The record is from RNAcentral.